This 408-nucleotide ribosomal RNA is filed under the name uncultured bacterium. RNAcentral describes it as "partial 16S ribosomal RNA". It matches the Rfam family "Bacterial small subunit ribosomal RNA", at positions 28 to 526 of the family's 1533-position model. The record is from RNAcentral.
GACGAACGCUGGCGGCGUGCUUAACACAUGCAAGUCGAACGAAGUGGCGAACGGGUGAGUAACGCGUAAUCAACCUGCCCUUCAGAGGGGGACAACAGUUGGAAACGACUGCUAAUACCGCAUACUGAAGGAGGGGAUUGCUUCUGAUUAGCUCGUUGGAGGGGUAACGGCCCACCAAGGCUAUGACGCUUAACUGGACUGAGAGGAUGAUCAGUCACAUUGGAACGGAGACACGGUCCAAACGCCGACGGGAGGCAGCAGUAGGGAAUAGUGCGCAAGGGGGGAAACCCGGACGCAGCAACGCGGCGUGGAGGAUGACACUUUUCGGAGCGUAAACUCCUUUUGUUAGGGAAGCGGUACCUAACGAAUAAGCACCGGCUAACUCCGUGCCAGCAGCCGCGGUAAUUC